Molecule: ribosomal RNA, 253 nt
Filed under: uncultured bacterium
Lineage: Bacteria
Description: partial 16S ribosomal RNA
Rfam family: Bacterial small subunit ribosomal RNA
Source: RNAcentral
UACGUAGGGUGCAAGCGUUAAUCGGAAUUACUGGGCGUAAAGCGUGCGCAGGCGGUUAUGUAAGACAGUUGUGAAAUCCCCGGGCUCAACCUGGGAACUGCAUCUGUGACUGCAUAGCUAGAGUACGGUAGAGGGGGAUGGAAUUCCGCGUGUAGCAGUGAAAUGCGUAGAUAUGCGGAGGAACACCGAUGGCGAAGGCAAUCCCCUGGACCUGUACUGACGCUCAUGCACGAAAGCGUGGGUAGCGAACAGG